CUAUCAGAUGAGCCUAGGUCGGAUUAGCUAGUUGGUGAGGUAAUGGCUCACCAAGGCGACGAUCCGUAACUGGUCUGAGAGGAUGAUCAGUCACACUGGAACUGAGACACGGUCCAGACUCCUACGGGAGGCAGCAGUGGGGAAUAUUGGACAAUGGGCGAAAGCCUGAUCCAGCCAUGCCGCGUGUGUGAAGAAGGUCUUCGGAUUGUAAAGCACUUUAAGUUGGGAGGAAGGGUUGUAGAUUAAUACUCUGCAAUUUUGACGUUACCGACAGAAUAAGCACCGGCUAACUCUGUGCCAGCAGCCGCGGUAAUACAGAGGGUGCAAGCGUUAAUCGGAAUUACUGGGCGUAAAGCGCGCGUAGGUGGUUUGUUAAGUUGGAUGUGAAAUCCCCGGGCUCAACCUGGGAACUGCAUCCAAAACUGGCAAGCUAGAGUAUGGUAGAGGGUGGUGGAAUUUCCUGUGUAGCGGUGAAAUGCGUAGAUAUAGGAAGGAACACCAGUGGCGAAGGCGACCACCUGGACUGAUACUGACACUGAGGUGCGAAAGCGU
This 552-nucleotide ribosomal RNA is filed under the name Pseudomonas sp. GA24-2. RNAcentral's name for it is "bacterial SSU rRNA". It matches the Rfam family "Bacterial small subunit ribosomal RNA", at positions 218 to 762 of the family's 1533-position model. Lineage: Bacteria; Pseudomonadati; Pseudomonadota; Gammaproteobacteria; Pseudomonadales; Pseudomonadaceae. The record is from RNAcentral.